Marmota monax (woodchuck) is the source of this 1238-nucleotide long non-coding RNA. RefSeq lists it as uncharacterized. NCBI's taxonomy places the organism in Eukaryota, Metazoa, Chordata, Mammalia, Rodentia, Sciuridae. The record is from RefSeq and is a predicted model, not a curated record. The transcript is spliced from 3 exons.
GGCCCCGCCCCCCUCCCAAGGUCUCGACUUGUCCCGUGGCCCUCACCAGCCCCCGCGCGUCGGGGCCUCCGAGAUGAGGGGCUUCACGACUAGCCCUGCCGCCCCCUGCCACCGCUCCCUGCCCGAGACCCCGCGGUCUGGCCCCCCGGCCCGGGGCUGGGCUGCGGCUCUCCGACCCCCUCCCCCCGCACAGGAAGUGUCCGUCCGCGGCCAGUUUCCCCCGCUGGCUAGCGCCGCGGCCUCUCUAGGAGCGGCUGGAGGUGGAAACUCGUUGGCAUUAACCCUGGGCUGGAUGGCCCCGGCGUUAGGGCGAGGGGAAACGCAGCGUGCUGGAGCCAGCGGAAGGGGCUAGGGCAGUUGUGUGCCUAUAUCCUGGGUCUUCGUCUGUCCACGGGCCUGUCUGUCGAUCUCCCGAGCCCUGUGUCCCUCAGUGCGUGUGGCCAAGGGCGAGGCGACAAGCGAGACCAAGGUUCUAAGUGCUGAAGGAACCAGUCCAGAGAUCCUCCUGAAGAGAGGAAGCCUCUUUCUUUUUCAUUACCCUGUCUCUUCCCUUUACUCUCCUCAAAGCCUGAAUUUAACUGAAUCCCUGGGAACCUUAGUCCCUGGUUCCUGAAUUUUCUCACAGGGAAGCAGGAUUUCUUGCAGGGGAGGAUGACAAUGAAGAGUUCAGGAAGAGAAUUGACAGACAGAACCACAGGACCUUUUAAGUGAUCUAAGAACUUUCUAGUCCUAUCUGGUUUGACUGGAUGUUUGUGGAGGAAGAGAACCUGAGAAUACUGCCCCAGGUGUAUCUUUGAAUGCAGAAGAAAGUGACCCUGAAAAGACAACUUAAUAUCAUCCAAUCUUGUCCUUUUUCUGCCCUUCUUGCUGAAACAAGUUAGGUAACAUUCUUGACAAUUAAGGAGCCAAAUUAUCCUGUGUGAAUGUUACAGUGGCCAUGGAUUGUGUGUUUUCUUGCCUAACCGAACAAAUAAAGGUACCAAAAGAAUGAAGAUGUAAGAUUUGCUUUUGUUGAUUUGCAACUCUCAUCUUGGGCUGGGUUUUCUCUUGCCUGAGUCUGUCACAUGGCUGUUCUCUAAGGCCCAUCUUAUAACUGGGAUUGACUAUCCCCAUCCAGGUCAGUGCCUGGGUGUUAUCACAAGGAACAGACAGAUGCCUCUAAACCCUGACUGAGAAGUUGGCAAGGAACACAUGAAUGGUAUGGUGAAAAUGACAAGUCAGGCACAGUGUGUGCACCU